GACGAACGCUGGCGGCGUGCUUAACACAUGCAAGUCGAACGGAAAGGCCCUGCUUUUGUGGGGUGCUCGAGUGGCGAACGGGUGAGUAACACGUGAGUAACCUGCCCUUGACUUUGGGAUAACUUCAGGAAACUGGGGCUAAUACCGGAUAGGAGCUCCUGCUGCACGGUGGGGGUUGGAAAGUUUCGGCGGUUGGGGAUGGACUCGCGGCUUAUCAGCUUGUUGGUGGGGUAGUGGUUUACCAAGGCUUUGACGGGUAGCCGGCCUGAGAGGGUGACCGGCGACAUUGGGACUGAGAUACGGCGCAGACGCCUACGGGAGGCAGCAGUGGGGAGUAUUGCACAAUGGGCGGAAGCCUGAUGCGGCAACGCCGCGUGCGGGAUGACGGCCCUCGGGUUGUGAACCGCUUUCGCCUGUGACGAAGCGUGAGUGACGGUAAUGGGUAAAGAAGCACCGGCUAACUACGUG
This 468-nucleotide ribosomal RNA is filed under the name uncultured bacterium. RNAcentral's name for it is "partial 16S ribosomal RNA". It matches the Rfam family "Bacterial small subunit ribosomal RNA", at positions 28 to 507 of the family's 1533-position model. The record is from RNAcentral.